GCGGUGAUAGAUCGCACGCCAUUUUGAUUCCAAUAAUUCUACUAUUCGGAGGUUAGAUAGUCUUUGUGAGUGAUUAGAUUUAAGAAUAUUGUCGGAGAACGUUCCUUCUCAGCCGGCGAACGCUUCAAGCAUUAAAGUACAAUAUAUAAGCAAAAAUAAUGUAUUUUUUAAAAUAAAUUAUAGGUAUAUAAUAAAAUAGGUAUUAUUAAGCACCUUUUGUAACCUUGACUUUCUAAACUUUGCCAAUUACUUUCUUUAAUGUAUAAAGUUGUCCCUAUUCAAAACACUAGGUGCACCAAAUUCUUAUGGAUAACUGUAUGCAAAACAGUUAACAAUGACUGUUACCGAAAAUUAUUAAAUUACAACUCUUAUUGUGUAUGAAUUUGAAUAAAUUAUGCACACAAUGGAUAUUCAAAUUUGUUCCCAAGCGUACAUUGAAUGCGUGAGCUUCACGUCUUAUUAAUAAUAGUAAUUUAACCCUUCAGGUAGAAAGUGUUGAAUAAAAUGCUACGAUGAUUGAUGGUCUCAUUUAAUUGUAUCUAUAAGGUGUUAGGUUUCUCUGUAAGUUUUUGGAGAACUCUGUUCUGCUCACCAAAACGAUGCCAAACGGAGUUAGGUCUGAUUUGUAUCGAUGCAAUUCGAAUUGGUGCGCUGUAAGGAAUAUCUGGUUUUUUUGUUGAGUAACCUUAAAGUUAGUUAUUUUUUCAAAAUGUGGGAAAAGCAUGAUUUUGUUGAAAUAUUAUGGAUAUUACUAGUAAAUAAUAAAUCUGUCAUUAAAAUAUUUAAUUAGAUACAUAGAUAUGUAAAGAUGACCAAUGAAUUUAAUGAACAAUGUAAUUUAUAAUUUGUAUUCACAGAGAUAAGUAUUAAGUAUAGAUUAUUAUGUUGUAAUAACGUAAAUAUAAAACUUUUAAAUAGGAAACUAAGUACAAAGGUACUACCUACUUAUAUUUCUAUAAAAUUUUCAUAUUUUACCAUUUAUAGAAACACAAAUAUUUUAUUUAUUUUCAGAUAUCGCGUAUUAGAAAAAAAAAUGUCAAUAGUCCCAAAGGUCACAAGACAUUAGAAAGUUGAAAAACUGUAAUUAAUCGGUUACAAGAAAAAAUAUUUCACACUAGUCAAAUCUAGAAAACGGAACUAACGAUAGAUGUGCGUGAUUUGAAAAAAAAAAUCUUACAUCCGUAUGCAAAUCUCAUUCAUUUGCAUAACACAGUGUUCACGUUCAAUCGAAGCAAAAAGUUAACCCUUCACUUUUUUAUAUUUUUUCCUGUCAAAGGCCGGUUUAUACAUAAUUAGAAUAAUACUCUUGUUAUGUUCGGCGCUUGUCAUUUUUUCUUUUUUUUUUUUUUGUCGCACAGAUGUGACGCAAAGGAAGUAAGAAAAAAUGAGAUCGAAAGUGGAGGGUUAAGUUUGCUAUUAAAAACGACUGUUAGUAGUUUUUUCUUUUUACAUUUACAAUAAAUUAAUGGGUUGAUGAUAUUUGUCUUGAAUUAUAAUGAGAGGGUUUGAAGUGACUGGCUGGAAAAAUUAUGGUAUCUGUUGGAAGUUGUAAUUUUUUUUUUCACAAUUAUAUUAUCUCUCUCUUUUUAAAACUUUACUAUUUUAUCAUAAAUAUGUUAAUGUAAAUGUUACAGGUAUAUUAGCGGCUAGUCUUUCCUCGAGUGGUAAAAAAAAUUGAUAACCUAUUCUCAGACCUAUACUGAAUUGGUAUACAAAUGAAAUUUCAUCAAUAUCGGUCAAUCCGUUUUGAAGUAGUAUGGCAACUAACACUGUGACACGAUAUUUUUAUAUAUACAAAGAAGAUUGUAUUACAUAAAUUGUAAAAAAAAUAUUAAAAAUGUUUUUGAAG
Molecule: long non-coding RNA, 1849 nt
Organism: Plodia interpunctella (Indianmeal moth)
Lineage: Eukaryota; Metazoa; Arthropoda; Insecta; Lepidoptera; Pyralidae
Exons: 2
Source: RefSeq, a predicted model, not a curated record